This 484-nucleotide ribosomal RNA is filed under the name uncultured bacterium. RNAcentral describes it as "SSU rRNA". It matches the Rfam family "Bacterial small subunit ribosomal RNA", at positions 26 to 521 of the family's 1533-position model. The record is from RNAcentral.
AGGACGAACGCUGGCGGCGUGCUUCACACAUGCAAGUCGAACGGGGCUCAUUCGGUGGUAACACCGGAGAAGGCCUAGUGGCGAACGGGUGCGUAACACGUGAAGAACCUGCCCCGAAGACUGGGAUAACAGCGGGAAACCGCUGCUAAUACCGGAUGACCCCACCAGGCCGCAUGGCCAGGUGAGGAAAUGGGCCUACCGCUUCGGGAGGGCUUCGCGGCCUAUCAGCUUGUUGGUGGGGUAACGGCCUACCAAGGCUACGACGGGUAGCUGGUCUGAGAGGACGACCAGCCACACUGGGACUGAGACACGGCCCAGACUCCUACGGGAGGCAGCAGUGGGGAAUCUUGCGCAAUGGGCGAAAGCCUGACGCAGCAACGCCGCGUGAGGGAUGAAGGUCUUCGGGUUGUAAACCUCUUUCGAGCAGGGACGAUUGUGACGGUACCUGCAGAGAAGCUCGGCCACUACGCGCAGCAGCCGCGGU